UGAUACGAAGGUCUUUUAAAACUGUUGGGUGGAAAAUCCUAUCGUUCUGCAGAGCAAGGGGCAUCAUCGUUUGGAAGAGGGGCCUGGAGCCCCAGGCAGCUGGCGGUGCCCAGCUCCUGUUUCUGAAGGAGUGGGGCCUCUCUCCCUGUGGUGUCGGGUUGCAUCGAUUAAACUCCAGAUUCCACCAGCCCAAAAUAGUUCCAGGAUGGUGCUCCUGAGGGCAGCUGACAAGGGUUCAGAUUGUCCAAAGCCCUACCAAUACAAGAGAAGAACCUUCAGACAGGAGCCAAGGCUUAAGAGCGCUGUUGGGUGGGAGACGUGGCAGAAAUAACAGUGCUUCCACAACAGUUACUAAAUAUAGCAUAAGGAUGUACUACAUACCACUGUUAAUACUUAGGAAAUUAUUGGUUUGGUUCUCUGUUGUUAAGUAGCAAUUAAAAAGCUAAAAGCACAAACCAAAAAAUUUCCAAAUGUUAGCUCAAGCCAUAGUAGCUUUUUAAGUUUGCAUUUUCCAAGCUGUGUUUUCUUAAAUCCUAGUUCUGUAGAAGAAACACUCCAGACAAUGAGCUCAUGGUCAAGUAAAUUUGGAAACCAGGUUGAUUCCAGUUGGUGGGUUUCUUCACUGCAGGAUUCCUGGGGCCUUUAAUAUGCUGAUGUACUUUUGAAGGAGGGUGUAUGGUCUGCGGCCCCUCUGUUCUGUGAACCUGCCCAUGACUGAACGGAGUGCCACGGUUGGGGAAAUGCAGUUGUUACUAUUAAUCGGCACCUUGUUUGGCAUUCUAAGCAGCAAACAGAUGCCUGGUGAGAAGUGAUGGCAUACAUCCAUAAUGAACAAUGGAGUUAAAUAUUCUUUAUAUGGCCAGGGAGGGGAUCAGAAGCCAUGCGGAUCUAGAGUCUGACUGAGAGGGAGCGGUUACAGGUCAUCUUUGUCACAAGGAGCUCUUUUACCCAUUUCUAAGGAAGUUAACCCUUUAUCAGAAGGGUGGCCUCCCCGGGGUAGCUACCUUGAGAGAUGCUGCUGAUUCUUCUCAGGACCUAUGCCCACCCCGCCUCUCUUUGCUUCUAGACCUAUAACCAGACUCAAGUCCCAGCAGGCCUCAAGGAGUGAACAGCUUUUUGCUACACCCCGGAAGAGCUGCAUGAUUUUUCCAAUUUAUACAGACAGAUCUGGGGAGAUUGAAGGUUUGUGGUGACCGCUGCGCUGAGCAAGUCUAUCAGGACCGUUCUUCCAGCAGCAUUUGCUCACUUCGUGUCUCUGUGUCAGAUGUUGGUGAUUCUCUCAAUAUUUCAAAUCCUCCACCAGCAAAAAAGUGAUGACUCGCUGAAGGCUCAGAUGGCGAUGAGCGUUCUUUAGCAACACAGUAUUUUUAAAUUAAGUGGCCUGGAACCGAACCCGCGGUAUCUCCGAGGUGUGCCUGUACUUAGCAACGGGCAGAAUCCCCACAUUGGUUCCCUCACGUGUGGAGUGAGGCCUAUUAUGGUAGGAAAACCAAGUGGAAGUCUCGAGAACUGCCUCUACCUAGGAAAAUGGUAAAUGAAAAACAAUACUGCAUCCCUGGAGGGACUACAGAGAUCAUUGCCACCAUCAAGGACUAGAGAGAUGCAGGAGUGGUGACUCCCACGUCUCCAACCCCCAUCCUGUCUGUGCAGAAGACAGAUGGAUGACAGUGGAUGAUCAUAAACUGACGAUUGGAGGUGGUGGCUCCAAUUGCAGCUGCUCUUCCAGAUGUGGUUUCAUUACUUGAGCAAAUUAACACAUCCCCUGGUUCCUGGUUUGCAGCUACUGAUCUGCAAGUGCUCUUUUCUCAAUACCUGUUAGCAAAGACCACGAAAAGCAGUCUGCUUUCAGCUGGCCAGACCAGCAAUACACCUUCACUGUCCUGCCUCGGGUAGAUCAACUCUCCAGCCUGAUGUCAUUAUAAUUUGGUCUGCAGGUAUCUUGAUCACUUUUCCCUUCCACAAAAUAUCCCACAGGUUUAACAUCGAUGAUACAUGCGGAUUCCAUCUAGAGAACAAGAAGUAGUAACUAUAGAUAUGCUGGUAAGACAUUUGCAUUGUCGAUGGUGGGAAAUAAAUUUCACCAAAAGUCAGGGGCCUUCCACCUCAGUGAAAUUUCUAGCGAUGCCCUGGUUGGGUGCGUGUCAAGAUAUCUAUUUUUUCAGUGAAGGAUAAGUUAUUACAUCUGGCCCCUCCUACAGCCAAAAAACCAGGCACAACACCUAGUUGGCCUCUCUGAAUAUUGGACCUCUCUGGGUGUGUCACUCUGGCCCAUUUACCAAGUGACCUGAAAAGCUGCUUGUUUUGAGUGGGGCCCAGAACAAGAGAAAGAUUUGCACCAGGUCCAGGCUGCUGUGUGCGCUGCUCUGCCACUUGGGCCACAGGAUCCAGCAGAUCUCCUGGUGCUUGAAGAGACGGGGGCAGGCAGGGAUGCUGUCUGGAGCUUGCGGCAGGUCCCUACCGGUGAAUCACAGUGGAGGCCCUUAGGAUUCAGGGGCAAAGUCCUGCCAUCCUCUGCAGAUAAUCCCUUUCCUUCUGAGUAACUACUGAGCCAUUGGAUUUACAUCUGCAAAGACUCUAUUUCCAAAUAAGGUCACAUUCCAGGGUUCUGGAUGGACAUGAACCAGGGGGGACGCAAUUCACCCCACAAGAGAGAGAAGUGCUUUCCGGAGACACAACAUUGAUGUCAUUGAACUGGAAGUUCAGACGGCUGCCAGCCACUUUGGGCUCCUCAAGCCUCCAAGUCAUCAGGCAGAGAAGGGAGUUAUCCUGUUGGUUGGGGUGACUGACCCUGACUACCAAGAGAAAAUCGGGCUGCUACUAUACAAUCAAGGAAGAAGAUGUGCGGAACACAGGAGAUCCCUAAGGCUACCCUGCCUUAAAGUCGAUGGAAAAUGCAAUUAAGGCAGGACUACUAAUGGCCCUGACUCUUCAGGAAUGAAGGUUUGGGUCACCCCAGCAACCAUGACCAGCUGAGAUGCUUGCUGAGGGUGUGGAAUGGGUAGUGGAAGAAAGUAGUUGUAAAGACCAGCUACAUCUAUGUGACCAGUUGCAGAAAUGAGGCCUGUAAUUAUCAUGAAUUAUCUUGUAAUUUUCAUGUAAUUCAUCAUCUUGUUGUGCUGUUUGUAUCUUCGUACACAAACUUGUAUAGAUAUAUAGUAAGUAUAAAAUAAAUCUUUUUGUCUUCUUC
This is a long non-coding RNA of Balaenoptera musculus (blue whale), 3187 nucleotides long. RefSeq lists it as uncharacterized. The transcript has 3 exons. The record is from RefSeq and is a predicted model, not a curated record. Lineage: Eukaryota; Metazoa; Chordata; Mammalia; Artiodactyla; Balaenopteridae.